This 184-nucleotide non-coding RNA is filed under the name Acidobacteriota bacterium. RNAcentral's name for it is "Acidobacteria bacterium (activated sludge metagenome) 6S RNA". It matches the Rfam family "6S / SsrS RNA". Rfam says of the family: E. coli 6S RNA was the first non coding RNA to be sequenced, but its function was unknown until recently. It consists of 184 nucleotides that fold into an extended hairpin structure with a large single-stranded internal bulge. RNAcentral also lists the same sequence under 1 other name. Lineage: Bacteria; Pseudomonadati; Acidobacteriota. The record is from RNAcentral.
AGCUCUCUGCAAAGUUAGUGUUAGCACCUAUUUUUUGAACCAACGUCAUUUGAAUGGGAGGCUAGAGUGCAUCCUAAUACCAGCUUUCCGUCAGAGUCACGGAUUAACGACUGGAUUGGAGCCAGGCCACCCACCUGUUUAGGCAGGUUCAAAUGCAGAUGCUUCACGGCCACGCGGAGAGCUU